Molecule: RNA transcript, 619 nt
Organism: Oreochromis niloticus (Nile tilapia)
Lineage: Eukaryota; Metazoa; Chordata; Actinopteri; Cichliformes; Cichlidae
Exons: 3
Source: RefSeq, a predicted model, not a curated record
AUUCAUGUAUCACACAAUAAAUGUCUGUGGAUGUUCAGAAACAUUGGCUGAUAAGAUGACUGAAGAUAAAAUAUUCCAACAUUAUGAUGAUUCACAGCACACUGCACAAAUCACAUAAAAGUCUCUGAGAAUAAAACAUAAUUAUGAGCUGGUAAAAUAUGUCACCUGACCUGAAACAACAGAAGGUAAGAAGAAAACACAAGAAGCAAGCCUGCAUGUUUGCAGUGGACAGGAAAUGUGAACACGUCACACAACUGCUGUGGUCAAAGCUACAGGAGCUGUUUGAGGUUUGUAUAAAAGGAAAGGAAGCACAGAGAGGCCACAGUCAGAAGAAACACUCUGGUCUUAUCUGUAUUAAAUGCAGCUUCUCUUUUUAUUAUUGAUGUAAAGUCAAAGUGUUUGAGAUCAGCUGAGGAUCAGAGUGCAGCAGGGCUGGAUGUGAGGAUGGGGCACUCUUUGCUCUGCAUGACGGGCUUAUUGUUGCUCGGUACUCUCUUCUACAUUAAUGCUGAAGUUCCCAAUAAGCCCACCGUGAUCCUCGAACCAUCCUGGCCUCAGAUAUACAGCAGUGAGACAGUCACUGUCAGAUGUGAAGGAAGUCAGUCGCUGUUUGUUUGGA